This 709-nucleotide long non-coding RNA is filed under the name Malus domestica (apple). Its description in RNAcentral is "long non-coding RNA (MDOM_LNC001080)". The record is from RNAcentral. Lineage: Eukaryota; Viridiplantae; Streptophyta; Magnoliopsida; Rosales; Rosaceae.
AAAACAAAGAUUUGGACAAUACCAUAUGAGAAAUAGUUCAAUUUAUAAAAAUUAGAAUAUUGAUAGAAACAGAAUGAGUGAUUAUUUGUCGAUAGUAUCUUUUUAAACAAUAUUCUAUCACAAUUGCAUGUAUAAACAUAGCAAUUCAUUUUUCUUCAAUUCAUUUUUUGAAAAGCAAAAUAUAUUGAGAAUGCAUGUCGUUUAAGUUCCGAACACAUGUCGUUUAAGUUCCGAACAAUCAUCACUUGGCACACAACUUGUUCAAGCACCUUGCUGUUUUGAGCGGGCAUGGAAAUAUGACUCCAUCACAUGGAUUUAUUAAAAGAGGCACGUUUUGACCCAAAUUGUAUGACUUGGUAAGGAAGAGGAGGAGCAGCCCAUCACAAGUUGACCCCUCCAUGUGCUUGUGGUUCAUGCAUAUUGGUAAACCAUACUUUUUUUUAUAUUUAUUUAAUACUUAAUAUAACAAUAUUGGAAUGGAUGAUGUAUGCGGAAUCAUAUAAUGAGUCAGCUGAUAAUAAGAUAUCGAAUUUGUUACCAAGAGAAUCGAAAGAUGAAAAUAUAGCUAAACCAUAAUAUUAGUGUAAAAAAUUUUCAAUAUUUUUUUUAUAUGAGCUUAAUCUAGAGGAAAAAAUAAAUAUAAUAAACGAAUAAAACCAACAAAAAAAAGUAGUAGAAAAAUCACCUGAAUUUGAUCCCCAAUAUUGAC